AUUGAACGCUGGCGGCAUGCUUUACACAUGCAAGUCGAACGGUAACAGGUCUUCGGAUGCUGACGAGUGGCGAACGGGUGAGUAAUGUAUCGGAACGUGCCCAGUAGUGGGGGAUAACUACUCGAAAGAGUGGCUAAUACCGCAUGAGAACUGAGGUUGAAAGCGGGGGACCUUCGGGCCUCGCGCUACUGGAGCGGCCGAUAUCAGAUUAGGUAGUUGGUGGGGUAAAGGCCUACCAAGCCGACGAUCUGUAGCUGGUCUGAGAGGACGACCAGCCACACUGGGACUGAGACACGGCCCAGACUCCUACGGGAGGCAGCAGUGGGGAAUUUUGGACAAUGGACGCAAGUCUGAUCCAGCAAUGCCGCGUGC
Molecule: ribosomal RNA, 372 nt
Filed under: uncultured bacterium
Lineage: Bacteria
Description: bacterial SSU rRNA
Rfam family: Bacterial small subunit ribosomal RNA
Source: RNAcentral